This 1520-nucleotide long non-coding RNA is filed under the name Salmo salar (Atlantic salmon). Its description in RNAcentral is "lncRNA (ENSSSAG00000091617.1)". The record is from RNAcentral. Lineage: Eukaryota; Metazoa; Chordata; Actinopteri; Salmoniformes; Salmonidae.
AAAACAUAAUACAAAACAAGAAACACGAACAAUGCACAGACAUGAAACUGGAACAGAAACAAUGACGGCUGGGGAAGGAACCAAAGGCAGUGACAUAUAUAGGGCAGGUAAUCAGGGAAGUGAUGGAGGUGCGCGUAACGAUGGUGACAGGUGUGCGCCCUAACGAGCAGCCUGGUGACCGAGAGGCCGGAGAGGGAGCACACGUGACAAAGACAGUAACAGAUUUAAUUUACAAAGGAACUAGACAGAAUAACAGAUUUAAUUUACAAAGGAACUAGACAGAAUAACAGAUUUAAUUUACACAGGAACUAGACAGAAUAACAGAUUUAAUUUACACAGGAACUAGACAGAAUAACAGAUUUAAUUUACAAACGAACUAGACAGCAUAACAGAUUUAAUUUACAAAGGAACUAGACAGAAUAACAGAUUUAAUUUACACAGGAACUAGACAGAAUAACAGAUUUCAUUUACACAGGAACUAGACAGAAUAACAGAUUUCAUUUACACAAGGGAGCAACUGCUUGUCAAGAAGCCACACCAGCCACACUCACGCUAGAAGUUCAGCUCCCUGAAACAAUUAUGUUCAAAUAAAAAACUAAUUUAACCAUAAAAAGGGGAAUUUCUAUCAUCCUAAUGAAGGUGUAGAUCACAUCUCACAUUCUAGUGUUUCUAAUGAAGGUGUAGAUCACAUCUCACAUUCUAGUGUUCCUAAUGAAGGUGUAGACUACAUCUCACAUUCCAGUGUUUCUAAUGAAGGUGUAGAUUACAUCUCACAUUCCAGUGUUUCUAAUGAAGGCGUAGAUUACAUCUCACAUUCCAGUGUUCCUAAUGAAGGUUUAGAUUACAUCUCACAUUCCAGUAUUCAAACUUGUAAACAAGACUGUAUAGGAUUUCUGUUAAUCAGACUCCUUGCAGCCAAUGGCAAUGUCUGCUAUAGCUAUAAUGCCGGGAGCCACUUGUGGAUUUGACAGCUCUAACGCAGUUCUGCCUCCGACACCAUCAAAACAACUGCUAUGCUGAUGUUGGCUGAAGCAGAUGUGAUUGAAUGGAGCCGUUGGUCCUCUGAGGUUGGAGCGCAGGGUAAGUGAUAGUACAGCACUCCUGGAGAUGUUUCAUUAGGAGUUAAGUGCCUUGCUCAACGACAGAUGGAUGGUUCAUAAAGAUCUUAAUCCGCUCCGACUAGCAUACAUCAUGCUCUACCCUCACUGUGAUCUGUCCAUAGAAGAAGGUUGCCUGUCUGUCUCUGGUGGCUGCAGAGAACGGCAGACUGCUGCCCUCUGUUGUCCUGGUGGGGACCUGCAGGCACUCCAACCUCCUGUUGGAACUCCUCUCCCCACCUCCUCCAACUGAGUCCUGCCACAGGGGGCAGGAGGAGGAGGAGUAUCCAGAGGAGGUGGAGGAAGAGGCGGAGCUACCCGGGCGGACCACACCACACACACGCUCCCUGGAGCUGUCUGAGAAGUUGGAGUCGACUGUGAAGACGGAAGAGCAGUAGGCCCGUCUCAGCCCCUCUCCUACAG